GGAACACAAAUUUCAAUCACUUCUUCAUUGAGAUAAAAAACUUAAAGUUAAAAAAAGUUGUAUUUUCUGAAUUUACCCCACCGAUUAUUGAGAUCAAACUGCAAAUUUGCAAGUAUGACCAAACGGUAUGAAUGUGAUCGGGUUGAAUGCAAGAAGAAUUCUUCAACAUUCUUAGCUGCUCACAUAAAGCGUUCGAUCGAAGAAAAUCAUUACGAAACAAGCAAGAGUGAUUGGAACAGAUUGUUCGAUUUGAACAAGCUCGCUUACGAUCAUUCACUUUUGUUAAAUUAAAGUUGACAAAGUUCUGAUUAAACGCAAUCCUUAUGCUAAAUUAAAUUAAAUACUUUUCGAACUGAGUGAUUUUCUACUCAACAAAACAUGUGUCGCUCUAAAACCCAUUAUGAAAUACUCAACUAUAGUACUUGUCUAUACAAACUGAUCUUAAUUAGAUCAUAACAAUUUGUUCAGCUGGCUUUCUUGUCUAAUAAAUUAUCUUUAUAAUCAAUGCAAAUGAUUAAACAUGCAGCUGUAUCAGUUCAAUUUAAAAUAAUUCGCUAUGAAAAUGACUAAUUUGUUGGCU
This is a long non-coding RNA of Drosophila nasuta, 580 nucleotides long. RefSeq lists it as uncharacterized. Lineage: Eukaryota; Metazoa; Arthropoda; Insecta; Diptera; Drosophilidae. The record is from RefSeq and is a predicted model, not a curated record. The transcript has 3 exons.